This 630-nucleotide long non-coding RNA is filed under the name Homo sapiens (human). Its description in RNAcentral is "HSALNT0339746". The record is from RNAcentral. Lineage: Eukaryota; Metazoa; Chordata; Mammalia; Primates; Hominidae.
AAUGACUAAUUAAGCAUGAUCUUUAAGUAGAGGUUGCAGGAAGUUUGGGGAGUUGAUUGGUAGGACUGAGUAGAAAGCAGAAGUAACACAGGAGGUGGAGGUAAAGAGAAGAGAAAUUAAGAAGGAAAAUCUCAUCAAAUGACAUAUUUAAAGAUAAAUUAAUUAAAUACAGAAAAGGUCUUUUACAUGCAUCGUUGGAUUGCAGUCUCAAGCCUGGGAUUCCAACGGAAUUAACGUCCAUUGAAAACUUACUGUGCUCAAGGCACAGAACGGGGUAGUUUUAUACACAUUCUCCCAUUUGGAUUUUUCAAAGACAACAUCUAAUCAUCCCCAGAGAAAUUUCAGCUGAGAAGACAGGAUGAUGAAGUGCCCUGGGGGCCAGAGUCCAGACAAGUAUUUUGGCACCUCCAAGGACUCGCAGAACACAGAGAGGAAAAGAGAGACCCUGUUAUCUUUCCGCAGGGGUGGCCGUUCAAACUCUCAGAGAUGGAAGUUAAGAUUUCCUUUGGUAUAAGUGGCAGUUUGACUGGCUGCAAGGAGAGCCUCAGUUUGUUUAAUUUGGAGUAAAAUUUUAUGAGUUAAUCUCUAGUGAGGGAAAGCAGCAGUAAACACAGAACAUACUGGUCAUUA